Molecule: ribosomal RNA, 465 nt
Filed under: uncultured bacterium
Lineage: Bacteria
Description: partial 16S ribosomal RNA
Rfam family: Bacterial small subunit ribosomal RNA
Source: RNAcentral
CCUACGGGAGGCAGCAGUGAGGAAUAUUGCGCAAUGGGCGAAAGCCUGACGCAGCGACGCCGCGUGAGGGAUGCAGGUCUUCGGAUCGUAAACCUCUGUCAGCAGGGAAGAACGGUCACUGUGCUAAUCAGCAGUGAAUUGACGGUACCUGCAAAGGAAGCACCGGCUAACUCCGUGCCAGCAGCCGCGGUAAGACGGAGGGUGCGAGCGUUAAUCGGAAUUACUGGGCGUAAAGCGCUCGUAGGCGGUAUGUCAAGUCAAGGGUGAAAGCCCCGCGCUCAACGUGGGAACUGCCUUUGAAACUGGCAAACUGGAGUGUGUGAGAGGAUAGUGGAAUUCCAGGUGUAGGAGUGAAAUCCGUAGAUAUCUGGAGGAACAUCAGUGGCGAAGGCGACUAUCUGGCACAUAACUGACGCUGAGGAGCGAAAGCGUGGGUAGCAAACAGGAUUAGAUACCCGGGUAGUC